GAUGAACGCUGGCGGCGUGCUUAACACAUGCAAGUCGAACGGAAAGGCUCCUGCUUGCAGGGGUACUCGAGUGGCGAACGGGUGAGUAACACGUGGGUGAUCUGCCCUGCACUUCGGGAUAAGCCUGGGAAACUGGGUCUAAUACCGGAUAGGACCACAUUUUGGAUGGUGUGGUGGAAAGUUUUUCGGUGUGGGAUGAGCUCGCGGCCUAUCAGCUUGUUGGUGGGGUAAUGGCCUACCAAGGCGUCGACGGGUAGCCGGCCUGAGAGGGUGUACGGCCACAUUGGGACUGAGAUACGGCCCAGACUCCUACGGGAGGCAGCAAUGGGGAAUAUUGCACAAUGGGCGCAAGCCUGAUGCAGCGACGCCGCGUGGGGGAUGACGGCCUUCGGGUUGUAAACUCCUUUCGCUAGGGACGAAGCGUUUUUGUGACGGUACCUGGAGAAGAAGCACCGGCUAACUACGUG
RNAcentral lists this ribosomal RNA (467 nucleotides) under uncultured bacterium. RNAcentral's name for it is "partial 16S ribosomal RNA". It matches the Rfam family "Bacterial small subunit ribosomal RNA", at positions 28 to 507 of the family's 1533-position model. The record is from RNAcentral.